Polypterus senegalus (gray bichir) is the source of this 589-nucleotide long non-coding RNA. RefSeq lists it as uncharacterized. The transcript has 3 exons. NCBI's taxonomy places the organism in Eukaryota, Metazoa, Chordata, Cladistia, Polypteriformes, Polypteridae. The record is from RefSeq and is a predicted model, not a curated record.
CCUGUAGAAAGGAUAUAGCGGGUUGGAUGAAGGAUGGAUGGUUUGCAGCAGUUAUUUUUUUAUUUUUUAAAGCUUUACACGUACUUUUGACAGAAAUUUUCUCAAUCUGAAAUACUUUGACAGCAAGGUGUUUUAAUAUCUGAACAGCUAAUAAAGUCUUGAAUGUUUUGUUCUGUAAUAUAAAUAUUUUACAUCAGGAAGUACAGUAUAUUGUAGUUGCAUAAUAUACAGUAUAAAAUAAUUAAGCUGAAUAAGAUCAUUUCCCACAUUAUUACAGUGUAUGAGAAGCCUAAGGAGUAUUUCUUUUUAUGUUGUUUAAUAAUACAAAACAUUUUUAUUUUUUUGCAUGGCGUGAGUGAUGAAAAUGGAACAGGUGGACUGAUGACUGAAAAUUUUAUCUGAAUACUGACAGUUAAGGACAAGUGAGCCGACAGAAGUGCAAACACGGAAUGCUUAAGGAUGGCGUAUUUAUAAGCAUUGGUUUUAAAUAAACCGAAGACGAAGGAGCAACGUAUUACAAAGUAUUGCUCUGGAGAAAUGGAUUUGAGCUGGAAGCAGAGGAAAGACUAGCAGUUCCACAAGUACUGGC